CCUACGGGGGGCAGCAGUGGGGAAUUUUGGACAAUGGGCGAAAGCCUGAUCCAGCAAUGCCGCGUGUAGGAAGAAGGCCUUCGGGUUGUAAACUACUUUUGUACGGAACGAAACGGUCUUUUCUAAUACGAAAGGCUAAUGACGGUACCGUAAGAAUAAGCACCGGCUAACUACGUGCCAGCAGCCGCGGUAAUACGUAGGGUGCGAGCGUUAAUCGGAAUUACUGGGCGUAAAGCGUGCGCAGGCGGUUAUGUAAGACAGUUGUGAAAUCCCCGGGCUCAACCUGGGAAUUGCAUCUGUGACUGCAUAGCUAGAGUACGGUAGAGGGGGAUGGAAUUCCGCGUGUAGCAGUGAAAUGCGUAGAUAUGCGGAGGAACACCGAUGGCGAAGGCAAUCCCCUGGACCUGUACUGACGCUCAUGCACGAAAGCGUGGGGAGCAAACAGGAUUAGAUACCCCAGUAGUC
This 465-nucleotide ribosomal RNA is filed under the name uncultured bacterium. RNAcentral's name for it is "bacterial SSU rRNA". It matches the Rfam family "Bacterial small subunit ribosomal RNA", at positions 338 to 795 of the family's 1533-position model. The record is from RNAcentral.